This 158-nucleotide non-coding RNA is filed under the name Planctomycetota bacterium. RNAcentral describes it as "6S RNA". It matches the Rfam family "6S / SsrS RNA". Rfam says of the family: E. coli 6S RNA was the first non coding RNA to be sequenced, but its function was unknown until recently. It consists of 184 nucleotides that fold into an extended hairpin structure with a large single-stranded internal bulge. The record is from RNAcentral. Lineage: Bacteria; Pseudomonadati; Planctomycetota.
CAGCCUCUGCCGUGCUCGACAGCGGGCCUAUUUGAAAAGAACCGAAAUCCCAUUGUUGGGAAGCGAACUCCAGCGGCGCCAUUGGCGCCCGGUCAGCUGCCCACUUGAACUAAUGGGUUCUUCUUCUUAGCCCACAUCGGCACAACGGUGGAGGCUCC